CUCUUCGUCCCCUCACCUGCCUCUCAUCUGUCAACCCAUUCAGAAACUGUUCGUCUCCCCUGAAACUGAAGGACGUGGAGGAUCUACAACCUAAAAAAUCAGGCAAGAAAUUCCCCAAUGCCAUCACCAUCUACACGAGUCACGCGUCCGCCGCCACAUGUGUCAUCACCAUCUGCAAGCAUGAUAGAUGAGAUUAUUGAGGAGGGAACUUUGAAUGGAAGAAGGGCGCCAUCGCCUUCAUUCUAUAUAAGAAAUCGUUGUUAAUGAAAAUUUAAAUAUUGUAAUGGUGAUUUAAGGCUUACUUAGUCAUGUGUUUUUAUAGCACAAUGUUUGACUACUACUCUAUCUUUGUGCAAGUAGCAAUGAAGUGAUAGCCAAUGUAAAAGAAGUUGGUACGAGAAUAACAAAUGAGAUAAAGAGGGACAUUGGUCAGCAAUGGAAAAACUUGUCGAACAAAGACAGGCAAAAGUACAAACAUUUGGCUAAGUUGUCCAAAGAGGACCUUGCCAAGUAGAAAGCUUUACUUCCUCUAAAACCCAAAAAAAGAAAGUUAUAGAACCGUAUUUCCUUAAAGUCCAUUGUUGGAAUAGUACAAAAGUUAAGCACAGAUCAACGCCUUGCUGUUGAGCUUAUUGGGUUGGGUGGAAUAUUGGAAUUGAGGUGUACAGUUCUUAAUCAUCUGCUAUGUAACUGAUUGGUAAAAAAUUUUGAUCCUAAAACUCGUUCACUGAUUGUUCAUGGCCAGAAAUUCCUUCUCACUGUUGCCCACGUUCAUGAGUGCUUGGGAAUUAAUGCACAAAGCAAGCUUAUUGACUUGGAGGUGAAUAUGUUGGAUGAAUUUUCACAACUUUGUGAAAACAUAGGAAUGACGAAAGGGGUAGUCCAAUUGAAAGAGCUGAGAGAGUACUUGGAGGGAACAGAAGAAGUAGGUGAUGUUUUCAAGAGUAAAUUUGCCUUGUACAUCUUGGGAUGUUUUUAUGCCCAACCACAAAGUCGGGUGUUACUCGAUCCAUUAUUAAUGGUGUUAGUGAUGUUGUGGCAAUGGGUAAUCAGAAUUGGACGAACCUGACCCUCGACUUUUUUUGCAAGGGUUUUCUACUUCGAUUGUGUCUCUCCAAGUCCUACAGUUAUGCCUUACGUUAGAAAAUUUCAGUCCUUAGUUCAUUGGGGUGAUAUUGAAAUUAAGAACAUCUUGCACGAAUUUGAAAAAAUUGGAGGUUAUGACAGUUAGAGGGUGGUAGUUCAUUUUACACUGGAUGAAUGGACGAAGGUGGAUGAAAAAACCAGUGGCAAUGAAGUCGGCGUGUCCCAAAUUUCAUUUGGAGAUGUAAGUGUGAUGACAAGUACUUUCACAACAGUAGCACGUCUCUUGCUUCGUCAAAAUAUGAUACUGGCGAAGCACUUUGGGUUUGAAAUGUUGUCUGAUUUGCAAGCACAAAUUGCUCAAGAAAUGGACCUCAAGCAUGGCCUUGAAGGACAAUCCUCUCACCUCCUCAUGCAACUCAUGGGAUUAUAUACAUGUCAAACUUCAACAUUGAACAAGUUUGAAACCCACGAUCCUAUGCUUAACCAAUCGAAGACUGUCUCAACAAAUCCAAUUCAAGCGAGUCACCUUGCCUCUGAAAUGUUGUCUAAGCCGCAAUGGCAAGAACAACCACCACCACAAAUGGCUCAAGAAAUGGACCUGAACUAAUCAGUCAUCCUUGAACAAGAAUCCUCUCCAUUCUUUACGGGAGUACAUACAUGUGAAACUUCAACACAUAACGAGUUGAAAACCCUGAUUCUGCGCUCAACAAAUCCAAGGCUGUCUACGACAUGCCGACCUCUUGUUUCGAUCAAUAUAACAUGGGGAUUGACACUCAAAAUGAAAGGAUAGAAAUGGACAUGGAUGAGGAUGUAGUUUCACCUUCACCGGUAUCGGGCUUUAAGUCACGUGGUGGUUCGAGUAGAGGUACUGACACUCGAAGGAGGAAGAUACAACAGGACAUAGAUGUGGUUGUAGGUUCACCGUCACUGGUAUCGGGCUUUAAGUCGCAUGCUGGUUUGAGUAGGGGAAGGAAAAAAAAAGUUGGCCUUUGGAAAACCUGUCAUGUCCUUUUGUGUUAAUGAUAAUGUAGAAGUCAAUGAUGAACCACGACGGUUGUGACAGCGUGCUGAGUUGAAGAAAAGCAAGUUCCAGCAUUCUCUGUCUACGAACGACGGUCUUAAGAAGAGGAAUCCUCCGAAAAAUAAAAAUCAAGCAAAAACUCAGUCAACGAUUAUCGCGGAUCAACAUGAAAUUGUGGACAACAUUGAUAACAACGUUCCCAUUGGGUGUAUCUUAAUAUCAUUUACAUUUAUUGUCCUUUUAUGUACGGUGUAUUUCCAAUUCAUGGUUGUGAUAUUUAAUUUCCUGUUCAAUUCAAUAGUUUCGUGGACUCUAUGGAAAAUUCAAGUCUUUGAAGUUUGCUGGUGUUAUACAGGAGUUGAAUCCACAAAGCAAGGUUAUUACUCACUCCCAAUUCCCCUUGUCCAAUGUAGUAUCAAGUCUAACCCAUUCUUGUUUUGUAUUUGUUUAUUGUCUUGUCUUGUAUAGCCGUAUAUUCGAGAAAUGGUAGAUUCUCCAACAUACCCAACCCCAAAACCCUUAAAUGACCAUGAAAAGUUGUUGAUGGUGUUCAUUUUUUAUCCUUGUGAUCCAUUUACUGGGGAUGCUUACGUGCACUUAAAAAUGUUUGGAAUUGAAAGAUUCUUUGCAACCCGGUAUGAUUUGUGCAGCUUGAAACCCAAAGUAUGGAUAUUGGACACGGUUUGUGUGAUAUGAUUUUGCCACCUGGUUGAAGUAUUUAAUUUAUUAUGAUUUAUUUGCAUUUUAGUCCAAUGUGGUUACCUAUGUAUGAUUGUAAAUUAUAAAUUUGGUACCUGUGCAAACGACAAAUGAGGAAAGGUCCAACCAUCUAGACAAGCGCCACUUUAUGUGGUAUUUGCUGGUUAUUGUAUCGGUUAGUAUAAUUACUUUCCCAUAAUUAAUUUCCCCUUGUCCCCCUUCUAUCCUCUAGUAUUGGCAUUGUUUAUGUUUCCUGUAAUUUUGUAGAGGCAAAUAUUAGGCAAUCCCAACCUCAAUGAUUGUGAUUUGAAGAAGUUAUGUGAUAGUUAUUUUGGAGAUGCAAAUUUUACUGCUGACCUUAGCUCAUGCUCCACAAUAUACAUACCAACAAAUGAUCGUGGGAACCAUUGGUUUUGCAUCAAAGUAGACCUGGGCAUCCAGAUGGCUUACAUUUUCGAUUCGAAGCCGGCCACUUGAUCCAAUUUGUUUCGUAAGUGACUGACAAAAAA
Long non-coding RNA from Rhododendron vialii, 3315 nucleotides. RefSeq lists it as uncharacterized. The transcript is spliced from 7 exons. NCBI's taxonomy places the organism in Eukaryota, Viridiplantae, Streptophyta, Magnoliopsida, Ericales, Ericaceae. The record is from RefSeq and is a predicted model, not a curated record.